GGAUAACCUACCCUUAGGACCGGGAUAACCUUGGGAAACUGAGGACAAUACUGGAUAGGCAAUUUUUCCUGUAAUGGUUUUUUGUUUAAAUGUUUUUUCGCCUGAGGAUGGGUCUGCGGCCGAUUAGGUAGUUGGUUAGGUAAUGGCUUACCAAGCCGUUGAUCGGUACGGGUUGUGAGAGCAAGAGCCCGGAGAUGGAACCUGAGACAAGGUUCCAGGCCCUACGAGGUGCAGCAGGCGCGAAACCUCCGCAAUGUGAGAAAUCGCGACGGGGGGAUCCCAAGUGCCAUUCUUAACGGGAUGGCUUUUCAUUAGUGUAAAAAGCUUUUGGAAUAAGAGCUGGGCAAGACCGGUGCCAGCCGCCGCGGUAACACCGGCAGCUCUAGUGGUAGCAAUUUUUAUUGGGCCUAAAGCGUCCGUAGCCGGUUUAAUAAGUCUCUGGUGAAAUCCUGUAGCUUAACUGUGGGAAUUGCUGGAGAUACUAUUAGACUUGAGACCGGGAGAGGUUAGAGGUACUCCCAGGGUAGAGGUGAAAUUCUGUAAUCCUGGGAGGACCGCCUGUUGCGAAGGCGUCUAACUGGAACGGUUCUGACGGUGAGGGACGAAAGUUAGGGGCGCGAACCGGAUUAGAUACCCGGGUAGUCCUAACUGUAAACGAUGCGGACUUGGUGUUGGGGUGGCUUUGAG
This 687-nucleotide ribosomal RNA is filed under the name uncultured archaeon. RNAcentral's name for it is "bacterial SSU rRNA". It matches the Rfam family "Archaeal small subunit ribosomal RNA", at positions 102 to 789 of the family's 1478-position model. The record is from RNAcentral.